AGUGAACGCUGGCGGUAGGCCUAACACAUGCAAGUCGAACGGCAGCACAGGAGAGCUUGCUCUCUGGGUGGCGAGUGGCGGACGGGUGAGGAAUACAUCGGAAUCUACUCCGUCGUGGGGGAUAACGUAGGGAAACUUACGCUAAUACCGCAUACGACCUACGGGUGAAAGCAGGGGAUCUUCGGACCUUGCGCGAUUGAAUGAGCCGAUGUCGGAUUAGCUAGUUGGCGGGGGAAAGGCCCACCAAGGCGACGAGCCGUAGCUGGUCUGAGAGGAUGAGCAGCCACACUGGAACUGAGACACGGUCCAGACUCCUACGGGAGGCAGCAGUGGGGAAGAUUGGACAAUGGGCGCAAGCCUGAUCCAGCCAUACCGCGUGGGUGAAGAAGGCCUUCGGGUUGUAAAGCCCUUUUGUUGGGAAAGAAAUCCAGCUGGCUAAUACCCGGUUGGGAUGACGGUACCCAAAGAAUAAGCACCGGCUAACUUCGUGCCAGCCGCCGCCGUAA
This 506-nucleotide ribosomal RNA is filed under the name uncultured bacterium. RNAcentral's name for it is "partial 16S ribosomal RNA". It matches the Rfam family "Bacterial small subunit ribosomal RNA", at positions 29 to 523 of the family's 1533-position model. The record is from RNAcentral.